AGAGUUUGAUUAUGGCUCAGGACGAACGCUGGCGGCGUGCCUAACACAUGCAAGUCGAACGGAGAUAUUGAAUUUCGGUUUAGUAUCUUAGUGGCGCACGGGUGAGUAACGCGUGAACAACUUGACCUUCAGAGGGGGAUAACAGCGAGAAAUCGGUGCUAAUACCGCAUGAGACCACAAGCCCGCAUGGGGAAGGGGUCAAAGGAGGAAUCCGCUGAAGGAGAGGUUCGCGUCCCAUUAGGUAGUUGGCGGGAUAACAGCCCACCAAGCCGACGAUGGGUAGCCGAGCUGAGAGGCUGAUCGGCCACACUGGAACUGAGACACGGUCCAG
Molecule: ribosomal RNA, 331 nt
Filed under: uncultured bacterium
Lineage: Bacteria
Description: bacterial SSU rRNA
Rfam family: Bacterial small subunit ribosomal RNA
Source: RNAcentral